AGAGUUUGAUCAUGGCUCAGAUUGAACGCUGGCGGCAGGCUUAACACAUGCAAGUCGAGCGGGGAAAGGUAGCUUGCUACCUGACCUAGCGGCGGACGGGUGAGUAAUGCUUAGGAAUCUGCCUAUUAGUGGGGGACAACAUCUCGAAAGGGAUGCUAAUACCGCAUACGUCCUACGGGAGAAAGCAGGGGACCUUCGGGCCUUGCGCUAAUAGAUGAGCCUAAGUCGGAUUAGCUAGUUGGUGGGGUAAAGGCCUACCAAGGCGACGAUCUGUAGCGGGUCUGAGAGGAUGAUCCGCCACACUGGGACUGAGACACGGCCCAGACUCCUACGGGAGGCAGCAGUGGGGAAUAUUGGACAAUGGGGGGAACCCUGAUCCAGCCAUGCCGCGUGUGUGAAGAAGGCCUUUUGGUUGUAAAGCACUUUAAGCAGUGAAGAAGACUCUAUGGUUAAUACCCAUAGACGAUGACAUUAGCUGCAGAAUAAGCACCGGCUAACUCUGUGCCAGCAGCCGCGGUAAUACAGAGGGUGCAAGCGUUAAUCGGAAUUACUGGGCGUAAAGCGAGCGUAGGUGGCUUAAUAAGUCAGAUGUGAAAUCCCCGAGCUUAACCUGGGAACUGCAUCUGAUACUGUUGGGCUAGAGUAGGUGAGAGGGAGGUAGAAUUUCAGGUGUAGCGGUGAAAUGCGUAGAGAUCUGAAGGAAUACCGAUGGCGAAAGCAGCCUCCUGGCAUCAUACUGACACUGAGGUUCGAAAGCGUGGGUAGCAAACAGGAUUAGAUACCCUGGUAGUCCACGCCGGAAACGAUGUCUACUAGUCGUUGGGGAACUUGAUUCCUUAGUGACGCAGCUAACGCAAUAAGUAGACCGCCUGGGGAGUACGGCCGCAAGGUUAAACUCAAUGAAUUG
Molecule: ribosomal RNA, 907 nt
Filed under: uncultured bacterium
Lineage: Bacteria
Description: bacterial SSU rRNA
Rfam family: Bacterial small subunit ribosomal RNA
Source: RNAcentral